This 403-nucleotide ribosomal RNA is filed under the name Actinomycetes bacterium. RNAcentral's name for it is "Actinobacteria bacterium partial 16S ribosomal RNA". It matches the Rfam family "Bacterial small subunit ribosomal RNA", at positions 355 to 776 of the family's 1533-position model. The record is from RNAcentral. Lineage: Bacteria; Bacillati; Actinomycetota; Actinomycetes.
UGGGGAAUAUUGCACAAUGGGGGAAACCCUGAUGCAGCGACGCCGCGUUAACGAAGAAGGUAUUCGUAUCGUAAAGUUCUGUCCUAUGGGAAGAUAAUGACAGUACCAUAGAAGAAAGCUCCGGCUAAAUACGUGCCAGCAGCCGCGGUAAUACGUAUGGAGCGAGCGUUGUCCGGAAUUAUUGGGCGUAAAGGGUACGCAGGCGGUUUAAUAAGUCGAAUGUUAAAGAUCGGGGCUCAACCCCGUAAAGCAUUGGAAACUGAUAAACUUGAGUAGUGGAGAGGAAAGUGGAAUUCCUAGUGUAGUGGUGAAAUACGUAGAUAUUAGGAGGAAUACCAGUAGCGAAGGCGACUUUCUGGACACAAACUGACGCUGAGGUACGAAAGCGUGGGGAGCAAACAGG